RNAcentral lists this transfer RNA (62 nucleotides) under Ixodes scapularis (black-legged tick). It matches the Rfam family "tRNA", at positions 6 to 65 of the family's 71-position model. From Rfam's summary of the family: Transfer RNA (tRNA) molecules are approximately 80 nucleotides in length. Their secondary structure includes four short double-helical elements and three loops (D, anti-codon, and T loops). The record is from Rfam by way of RNAcentral. Lineage: Eukaryota; Metazoa; Arthropoda; Arachnida; Ixodida; Ixodidae.
GUUAGCGCAGCUGGUAGAGCGCUCCACUGUGAAGGGAGAGGUCCUUGGUUCAAUACCAGGAC